GAUGCUAAUACCGGAUAACAACAGAUGAUGCCUAUCAACNGUUUAAAAGAUGGUUCUGCUAUCACUCUUGGAUGGACCUGCGGUGCAUUAGCUAGUUGGUAGGGUAACGGCCUACCAAGGCGAUGAUGCAUAGCCGAGUUGAGAGGCUGAUCGGCCACAUUGGGACUGAGACACGGCCCAAACUCCUACGGGAGGCAGCAGGC
RNAcentral lists this ribosomal RNA (203 nucleotides) under uncultured Lactobacillus sp. RNAcentral's name for it is "partial 16S ribosomal RNA". It matches the Rfam family "Bacterial small subunit ribosomal RNA", at positions 159 to 354 of the family's 1533-position model. The record is from RNAcentral. Lineage: Bacteria; Bacillati; Bacillota; Bacilli; Lactobacillales; Lactobacillaceae.